GACGAACGCUGGCGGCGUGCCUAAUACAUGCAAGUCGAACGCACUCUCGUUUAGAUUGAAGGAGUUUGCUCCUGAUUGAUAAACAUUUGAGUGAGUGGCGGACGGGUGAGUAACACGUGGGUAACCUGCCCUAAAGUGGGGGAUAACAUUUGGAAACAGAUGCUAAUACCGCAUAAAACCUAACACCGCAUGGUGUAGGGUUGAAAGAUGGUUUCGGCUAUCACUUUAGGAUGGACCCGCGGUGCAUUAGUUAGUUGGUGAGGUAAAGGCUCACCAAGACAGUGAUGAAUAGCCGACCUGAGAGGGUAAUCGGCCACACUGGGACUGAGACACGGCCCAGACUCCUACGGGAGGCAGCAGUAGGGAAUCUUCCACAAUGGACGAAAGUCUGAUGGAGCAACGCCGCGUGAGUGAAGAAGGUUUUCGGAUCGUAAAACUCUGUUGUUGGAGAAGAAUGUAUCUGAUAGUAACUGAUCAGGUAGUGACGGUAUCCAACCAGAAAGCCACGGCUAACUACGUG
Molecule: ribosomal RNA, 520 nt
Filed under: uncultured bacterium
Lineage: Bacteria
Description: partial 16S ribosomal RNA
Rfam family: Bacterial small subunit ribosomal RNA
Source: RNAcentral